UACGUAGGUGGCAAGCGUUGUCCGGAUUUACUGGGCGUAAAGAGCGCGCAGGCGGUCGUGCAAGUCGCGUGUGAAAGCCCCCGGCUCAACCGGGGAGGGUCGUCGGGGACUGGGACACUUGAGGGCGGCAGGGGCUGGUGGAAUCCCCGGUGUAGUGGUGAAAUGCGCAGAUAUCGGGAGGAACACCUAUGGCGAAGGCAGCUCGCUGGGACGUUACUGACGCUGAGACGCGAAAGCGUGGGGAGCAAACAGG
RNAcentral lists this ribosomal RNA (253 nucleotides) under uncultured bacterium. Its description in RNAcentral is "partial 16S ribosomal RNA". It matches the Rfam family "Bacterial small subunit ribosomal RNA", at positions 524 to 776 of the family's 1533-position model. The record is from RNAcentral.